RNAcentral lists this ribosomal RNA (397 nucleotides) under uncultured bacterium. RNAcentral's name for it is "partial 16S ribosomal RNA". It matches the Rfam family "Bacterial small subunit ribosomal RNA", at positions 523 to 918 of the family's 1533-position model. The record is from RNAcentral.
AUACGUAGGGGGCAAGCGUUGUCCGGAAUGAUUGGGCGUAAAGGGCGCGUAGGCGGCCCGGUAAGUCUGAAGUGAAAGUCCUGGUUUUAAGUUGGGAAUUGCUUUGGAUACUGUCGGGCUUGAGUGCAGGAGAGGUAAGUGGAAUUCCCAGUGUAGCGGUGAAAUGCGUAGAGAUUGGGAGGAACACCAGUGGCGAAGGCGACUUACUGGACUGUAACUGACGCUGAGGCGCGAAAGUGUGGGGAGCAAACAGGAUUAGAUACCCUGGUAGUCCACACUGUAAACGAUGAAUGCUAGGUGUAGGGGGUAUCGACCCCUUCUGUGCCGCAGUAAACACAAUAAGCAUUCCGCCUGGGGAGUACGGCCGCAAGGUUGAAACUCAAAGGAAUUGGCGGGG